RNAcentral lists this ribosomal RNA (465 nucleotides) under Vreelandella stevensii. RNAcentral's name for it is "partial 16S ribosomal RNA". It matches the Rfam family "Bacterial small subunit ribosomal RNA", at positions 338 to 795 of the family's 1533-position model. The record is from RNAcentral. Lineage: Bacteria; Pseudomonadati; Pseudomonadota; Gammaproteobacteria; Oceanospirillales; Halomonadaceae.
CCUACGGGGGGCAGCAGUGGGGAAUAUUGGACAAUGGGGGCAACCCUGAUCCAGCCAUGCCGCGUGUGUGAAGAAGGCCCUCGGGUUGUAAAGCACUUUCAGUGAGGAAGAACGCCUGGUGGUUAAUACCCAUCAGGAAAGACAUCACUCACAGAAGAAGCACCGGCUAACUCCGUGCCAGCAGCCGCGGUAAUACGGAGGGUGCGAGCGUUAAUCGGAAUUACUGGGCGUAAAGCGCGCGUAGGUGGCUUGAUAAGCCGGUUGUGAAAGCCCCGGGCCCAACCUGGGAACGGCAUCCGGAACUGUCAAGCUAGAGUGCAGGAGAGGAAGGUAGAAUUCCCGGUGUAGCGGUGAAAUGCGUAGAGAUCGGGAGGAAUACCAGUGGCGAAGGCGGCCUUCUGGACUGACACUGACACUGAGGUGCGAAAGCGUGGGUAGCAAACAGGAUUAGAUACCCUAGUAGUC